GACGUAGGGCGCGAGCGUUGUCCGGAUUUAUUGGGCGUAAAGAGCUCGUAGGCUGUUCGAUAAGUCGGGUGUGAAACCUCCAGGCUCAACCUGGAGACGCCACCCGAUACUGUCAUGACUAGAGUCCGGUAGGGGAGCGUGGAAUUCCUGGUGUAGCGGUGAAAUGCGCAGAUAUCAGGAGGAACACCAGCGGCGAAGGCGGCGCUCUGGGCCGGUACUGACGCUGAGGAGCGAAAGCGUGGGUAGCAAACAGG
Molecule: ribosomal RNA, 254 nt
Filed under: uncultured bacterium
Lineage: Bacteria
Description: partial 16S ribosomal RNA
Rfam family: Bacterial small subunit ribosomal RNA
Source: RNAcentral